Molecule: small RNA, 1555 nt
Filed under: Pongo abelii (Sumatran orangutan)
Lineage: Eukaryota; Metazoa; Chordata; Mammalia; Primates; Hominidae
Description: retained intron
Source: RNAcentral
UUGGGACUUUCAGAGACACUGUGGCUAGCCAACCACAUGGUCGGCCUCAAAGUUGAGAGGCUCAGUAACCCUCCUAUCCCUAGAGAAUUCCAAAGUGUGGAUGUAAUUUAACUAGAAAGCCAUUGGUGACUAUCUGUGAUCCUCUGGAAGUAUGCUAUGUUGAUGUAUAUCUUGCAUCCAAAGCCAGAGGGAACCACAAUGACUAGUAAAACGGUGGUCUCAAUGCCCACUUAGCCUCUGCCUCUGAAUUUGACCAUAGUGGCGUUCAGCUGAUAGAGCGAGAAGAAGAAAUAUGCAUUUUUUAUGAAAAAAUAAAUAUCCAAGAGAAGCUGAAACUAAAUGGAGAAAUUGAAAUACAUCUACUGGAAGAAAAGAUCCGAUUCCUGAAAAUGAAGAUUGCUGAGAAGCAAAGACAAAUUCGUGUGACCCAGAAAUUACUGCCAGCCAAGAGGUCCCUGGAUGCCAAUCUAGCUGUGCUCCAAAUUCAGUUUUCACAGUGUACAGACAGAAUUAAAGACCUGGAGAAACAGUUCAUAAAGCCUGAUGGUGAGAAUAGAGCUCGCUUCCUUCCAGGGAAAGAUCUGACCGAAAAAGAAAUGAUCCAAAAAUUAGACAAGCUGGAACUACAACUGGCCAAGAAGGAGGAGAAGCUGCUGGAGAAGGAUUUCAUCUAUGAACAGGUCUCCAGGCUCACGGACAGGCUCUGCAGCAAAACUCAGGACUGCAAGCAGGACACACUGCUCUUAGCCAAGAAGAUGAAUGGCUACCAAAGAAGGAUCAAAAAUGCAACUGAGAAAAUGAUGGCUCUUGUUGCUGAGCUGUCCAUGAAACAAGCCCUAACCAUUGAACUCCAAAAGGAAGUCAGGGAGAAAGAAGACUUCAUCUUCACUUGCAAUUCCAGGAUAGAAAAAGGUCUGCCACUCAAUAAGGAAAUUGAGAAAGAAUGGUUGAAAGUCCUUCGAGAUGAAGAAAUGCAUGCCUUGGCCAUCGCUGAAAAGUCUUGGGAGUUCUUGGAAGCAGAUAAUCGCCAGCUGCCCAAUGGUGUUUACACAACUGCAGAGCAGCGUCCGAAUGCCUACAUCCCAGAGGCAGAUGGCACUCUUCCUUUGCCAAAACCUUAUGGUGCUUUGGCUCCUUUUAAACCUAGUGAACCUGGAGCCAAUAUGAGGCACAUAAGGAAACCUGUUAUAAAGCCAAUUGAAAUCUGAAUAUGUGAACAAAUCCAGGCCUCUCAAGGAAAGGACUUCAACCAGGCUUCCUUGUACCCACAGGUGAAAAAUGUGAGCAUAAUACUUCUAAUAUUAUUGAUAAGUAAGGUAACCACAAUUAGUCAGCAACAGAGUACAACAGGGUUUCUAUUUACCCACCAACUACUAUACCUUUCAUGACGUUGAAUGGGACAUAGAACUGUCCUACAUGUAUGUCAAAGUAUAUAUUUGAAUUGCUUAUAUUUUCUUUUUCACUCUUUAUAUUGAGUACAUUCCAGAAAUUUGUAGUAGGCAAGGCGCUAUAAAAAUGCACUAAAAAUAAAUCUGUUUUCAAUGAAGUACGGAAA